RNAcentral lists this long non-coding RNA (3879 nucleotides) under Lynx pardinus (Iberian lynx). The record is from RNAcentral. Lineage: Eukaryota; Metazoa; Chordata; Mammalia; Carnivora; Felidae.
CCUUUCAUAGGGUGGGGUACCUAAAAGAUACUGUAGCCCCGCUCCCCUUCUCCUCUCUAUUAUGUCCCUGGAGGAAGUGGAAUGUUCAGGAUGAAUACAGAGCCUAUUUCCCAGUAUUUCCAAAAUGGGAAGGCCAGAAUCUCACCAUGCACACCCUGACAGGAUGGCAGAAAGGUCUGAUGGCCCAGAAGAGCAGGCUGCUGCCCAGGGCCCUAGGGCCACAUUCACAGAAAUGAGUGUCAGGGCCCCUCCUAGACUGGCAUGAAUUCACCCGUAUUACCAGUUUGUGCCCUAGACACCUGUUCGUAGAGAACUCUCCAGAAAUGUAAUGGUGAGAGGCCACCAAGGGAUGGAUCUUAGAUCCCUGGUGGAUCCCAAAUUGACCAGCUCUCCCUCCUGCCAGGAAUCCAAAUGUGGCCCAGAUAUCCACAGCAGCCCCUCCCACCGGGUGGGACAACAGCUAUUUUCUGUGGCACCUCCCAACCCUUCUCCCAGGGACAGGGGAGGAAACGUGCCAUUGUCCAGUGCCCCUUCCCCAUUAGGGCUGCUGGGAGGGGGCAGCUCCCUCAUCCUUUCCUUCCUGGCCCCGGGGGCCCACCUGGGUUCAUCUCCAAGACAGCCACCUGGGUUCAGCCUGCAGUCUAACCUCUGGCACUCUGCUGACAAGUUAAGUCCAGAUCCUCAGGAAGUAAGGCAUCUUGGGUCAGUUUCAUUUUACACAAACGGACCCAUGAGCCUGGACUUUGCACAGAGCUGGAUCCAGGGAAGCGGAUUGUCUGUUCCUUCCCUGGUGCCUCAGUCUUUGGGGGGCGCCCUCUGCUGGCCACUGGGAAGUGCGGGAAAGAACAGAGUUCGGCAGAUGCACUCUCUCAGAGGGUCUGGAGAAGGGGACAAGAGUCAGAGAAACAAGUGAAAACCAGGAGCCAGCUGAGAGUGGCAUACUGACCACAGAUAAGAGAGGCAUGCUGAAGCCUUUCUGCAGGUGGGGAGUUUUAAGCUGGCUUUCAGUAGACAGAGGAGGGGAAGCCACGCUGGCAGAUGGGGGCUCAGGACAUACCAGAGGCAGCCUUUUCCAUGUGUGGAACCCUGCCCCUGCCCUAAAUGGCUCACACACCCACUGAUGUGUGUGGUGCCCUGCCAGGACUGGGAGAAGUGGCCCCCAAAAGAAGUCCACAACUGACAAACCUCUGCGUCCAUCCCCACCCCCCAAACACAAGGAUGGCCCAAGCCCAGGUCUGUGGCAUGGUGGGGCUCAAGGUGGGGUAGGGGCCUGAGUCACAGCCUGGUGUGGUACUGCCCUGUCUCGGGAAAGGCCAGGUCAACAACCCAUCACUCUGCCUCUGGCCGCCAGACAUCCUCCUCGUCACGUCUCACACGUGGGGCCAGGGGGGUGUCAGGGCAGUGUCAGGGUGGUGUGGGCCAUGUUAGUGCUAGGGCCUGUGCUUCAGGGCCACAAAUGGGCAGGAGAAAAAGAAUGAAGGGCUUCUCACUGCUGUAGCUGGAGGAGUUUGGGUUAGAGGGAGGAGAGACUGGAUGGACGCCUGGGCAUCUGGAGUGCCUCCUGGUAUGUCGGGUAAGGGAGGCAACAGGUGCCACCAAGAACUGGCAGCUCCUAGAAUCUGUCCCUGAAGUUGCUUUUUCUGAGGAGGGUCACCCUCAGGGCCUCAGUAUCUGCACAGGUCCUUGGCCCGGUCUUAACCUCCAAAGGUGGCCCACUGCUUUCGACCAUCAGGCCCCACAUGGGCCUAUGUACCCCAGACCCCAAGAAAGGCGGAGGCUCUGGCUACCCAGACCACUCCGCAAAAGUAAAUGGUUCUGUGGGCUUCUCUCCUCCCCUGCUCCACUCACUGAUUCCCAGACUUCCACCCUAAUGGCCAGGCCUCCUUCCAGACCUAGCCUGGGUGAAGGGGACUCCCAGGGGCGGGGAUUGAGGCCCAGGAGGGAACAGAGAGCAUGGCGCUUUAAUUGGAGGUAAUUAGUUAAUUUACUCUGAAAGCAGUAGGGGGAGGGGAUGGGUCUGUGUCCUAAUAGGGCUCAAACUCUGCUGAGUCUCUUUCUGAAUAGAGCUGACCACCCACCCAGGAGACCCACUCUUUGGCCCCAGGUCAGAGCAAGGCCCAGAGCAGACCUGCAGUAGAGCUGCAGAAAAAAAGCAGGUGCCUUGGGGUGGUGGGAACAGGCCUUUUGAGGUUAGGCAGGGGGAACUGGCAUGAUUGGGGAGGUGCAAUCUGGAAUUGGAACUGGUUUCUCUCCUCUCACCUAUACUUCCAUCCCUCCCAAGGUCAUUGCCCUCCCAAGUUGGGGGCCCACCCCCCUCCUAUGGUCAGUGACCUCCCAGAGCUGCCCACCCUAAGGGCAGCAGGGCCUGAAGGCUAACCUCACUGCCUCCUGCUUCGGGAAGCCAUUCCAAUAACCAAUAACCGGGGAAAGGGGCGCCAGAGGGGAGAGCCCCUGCCGGGCCCCAGGGGGGCGUGUCGUCGGGCCCGACGCGUCGUCGGCGGUGGGAGGGAGGCCGGGACGGCGGGACGGCGUGGCGGGGACUCUGGGCGACAGCGCCUCCGGAGCCCCGUCUGAAGCAGCUGACCCGCUGGUGGCGGGCCAGGUCGCGGCGGGGCCGGGAGGCAGCAACGUGCGGCGCGGCAUGUCGCGGCCGCAGCGGCAGGGAAAUGUGGGGGCGGGCCGGCGCGCCGCCACCCCCACCCCACGCAGGCCCAUUCAUAAAACCCGCAGGCAUUGCCCGGGCCUGGCAGCCUCCUCUCCUAAUUGCAAACUCAUUAAGGAGUUUGCAUCUAAUUUGCAUGGAAAUCAUUUCCUGGCCCUAAACAGAGCAACUCCCCCUUCUUUUCAGACCCCUCUGCCCUGCUCUAUGCAUACAGCCUUCGAGAGGAGGUUGGGGGGGGAGCAUUAUCUCUGCCCUGAGCCCCCUCCCAUGCCUCACUCCCCCCAUCCUCCUGGCCGGGAGCCGGGAGCCGGGGAGCGGUGUUGGCAGAGCACCCACCUAGCUGGGAGUCCUGCCUGUGCCCUAGGUGAGCCCGCCCUGCACCAGUGGGUCCAAGCAAGGGGAGGUACCCGCCAAGUCAUUUGCCCCCCGGCUUGGCCAUGCCCAGGGAAGGGAGGAGGCGGACGGCGGGCAGCCGCAGUAGCUGGUUGUACCUGGCAGGAAUACGGUUGGUAGGUGAGGCUGUUCGUGCCCAGCCUCACGUACGUGCCCCCACCCCCACACCCCUCACCCCACAGAACAAGCGCCCAGUGACUACAGAAACAGACACCCAGCCUCUGCUCACAAAGGCACCCACACCAGGCCAGCCAUAAUGGCUGCCGUCUUGGCAGCUACCCUCAAGGGCAGACAGAUGCCUUCACAGGCCGUUUGGUUCUUCUCCAGCACCCAGACAGGGUUGGGGGGGAAGGGGCUUCUUUUAAGACUUAAGACUUCUCUCUUAAGGCUUCUCUUAAGCCUCAUAGAGGGGCUCCCUUCUGUACCCCAAAUGCGGCCUCACGCCCUUCUUCUCCUGCAACCCACAUUCAUGGAGGUCCCCCAAGUGCUGGGCCCUACAUGAGGAUCUACCCGGGUGAGGGGGACACAGGGGCCUCUAACCCAGGAGGGACAGUGGAGGUGGCAGCCCCAGAGAAGGGGGCACCUAAGUGCUUCCCCAGAUGGGCUCUCUCCUUCCUGUAGUAGGUGGAAUGUUCCCCAACCUCUGGGAAGGGGGGAAUGGCAUGGUUUAAACUGUUGGAAAUGGGACAGAACUACCUAAAGUACAUGAAAUCAGAUACUACCUGGGGCACAGUGCCCUGGUCCUGUAUGUCCUGAGACAGUGUAAAAAGCAAUCACAAAAUUUUCAGCAUCAGGAUCGAAAAUUAAAACCUGCCUCUUGUCUG